CAGUCGCCGCGGGAAUACGUAGGUGGCAAGCGUUGUCCGGAAUUAUUGGGCGUAAAGCGCGCGCAGGCGGAUAGGUCAGUCUGUCUUAAAAGUUCGGGGCUUAACCCCGUGAUGGGAUGGAAACUGCCAAUCUAGAGUAUCGGAGAGGAAAGUGGAAUUCCUAGUGUAGCGGUGAAAUGCGUAGAUAUUAGGAAGAACACCAGUGGCGAAGGCGACUUUCUGGACGAAAACUGACGCUGAGGCGCGAAAGCCAGGGGAGCGAACGGGAUUAGAUACCCGGGUAGUCCCUGUCUCUUAUACA
This 301-nucleotide ribosomal RNA is filed under the name uncultured bacterium. RNAcentral describes it as "partial 16S ribosomal RNA". It matches the Rfam family "Bacterial small subunit ribosomal RNA", at positions 509 to 809 of the family's 1533-position model. The record is from RNAcentral.